Molecule: long non-coding RNA, 360 nt
Filed under: Brassica napus (rape)
Lineage: Eukaryota; Viridiplantae; Streptophyta; Magnoliopsida; Brassicales; Brassicaceae
Description: long non-coding RNA (BNAP_LNC012961)
Source: RNAcentral
ACUACAAAAGCAUAUGUACUUGCUUGAAUAUAAGGGAAAUAGUCUUACUGGCGUUUAUUCACAUUUUAAAUGAAAAAACAAAUAAGAUGUUAUGUCGAGAGAAUAAUUGUAGACUUGUAGUUCAACGAUCUUGUUCAAAGCGUAUAUGCGAGUAUUUUGCUUUUGCAUGUACUAUUCUUCCUGAAAAUAAAAAUACAAAUGAGAAUUUAUUUUCUCAAGUUUCAAGGCAUAAAAUUUUAUUUAUUCCCAGAUGCGUGCAGUUCAAUUAACCAAAUUAAAUAUCUGCAGGCAAUUUAUGUAUCCAUUCAUCCAUCCGGAGGCGAUGGAUAUUCGUGUAUGUCACAACUUAAAUGACACGAU